CCUACGGGGGGCUGCAGUGGGGAAUAUUGCACAAUGGGGGAAACCCUGAUGCAGCGACGCCGCGUGAGUGAAGAAGUAUUUCGGUAUGUAAAGCUCUGUCAGCAGGGAAGAAAAUGACGGUACCUGACCAAGAAGCCCCGGCUAACUACGUGCCAGCAGCCGCGGUAAUACGUAGGGGGCAAGCGUUAUCCGGAUUUACUGGGUGUAAAGGGAGCGUAGGCGGGAGGGCAAGUCUGAAGUGAAAGGCGGGGGCUCAACCCCCGGACUGCUCUGGAAACUGCUAGGCUGGAUUGCAGGAGAGGUAAGUGGAAUUCCUAGUGUAGCGGUGAAAUGCGUAGAUAUUAGGAGGAACACCAGUGGCGAAGGCGGCUUACUGGACUGUAAAUGACGCUGAGGCUCGAAAGCGUGGGGAGCAAACAGGAUUAGAUACCCUAGUAGUC
Molecule: ribosomal RNA, 440 nt
Filed under: uncultured bacterium
Lineage: Bacteria
Description: partial 16S ribosomal RNA
Rfam family: Bacterial small subunit ribosomal RNA
Source: RNAcentral